RNAcentral lists this small nucleolar RNA (106 nucleotides) under Zostera marina. RNAcentral's name for it is "Small nucleolar RNA snoR100". It matches the Rfam family "Small nucleolar RNA snoR100". The record is from Rfam by way of RNAcentral. Lineage: Eukaryota; Viridiplantae; Streptophyta; Magnoliopsida; Alismatales; Zosteraceae.
CGAUGAAGGAAGCAUGGUAAUGUACACGUAAAUAGAUGGUCUCCAUGUCUGCCAGCCUUGAUGCUUUUGGGUUUUGAUUUGGUUGGCCUGGAAUUGACCUAUAUGU